CUUCUCAAGCAUGCUUAAUAAUCCUACUUACUCAUGUCACAAAACAGGCUAGUUAACAACUAGAACAUAUCUAGAAGAAUAAUACUAAACAAAAACCAAAAUUAUAUAGCUUUAUAUCAAAGUUUUCCAUAGUCAAUGAAAGAAAUAUUCUGGAAUAUUUAAAUACACUUGGUUUUGGAGGACAAGGCAAUAAAAAGAUUGAAUAAAAUUAGAUAUUUUACAUAGAUACACAAGAUGUUUAUAUUUUGACACAUUAUAUAUUUUCUUGUAAGUUCCAUGAGAAAAAGGACUUUGUUUCUGUUCUCUGCUAUAUCCCCUGUGCCUAGAAGUUCACAUAGUAGAUGCUCAAUAAAUAAUUCUUGAAUGAUGAAUGAAUUUCAGCAUGUAUUUCAAUAAGCUUUGAAACACCUACAUUCAUGACUAAAAGUUAACCAUAAAUUUAGAUCUGGAAUAUUUGAAUGUCCCCCCUUUUAAUUUAGGCAGAAUAAUAAAAUGCUAUGGCAAAGCAUAUGCAUCAUUCUCUGCUGCUUAGAGUUGCUUUUCCCCUUACCCAUAUUAUCUGCCUCUCCUAGCAGAAAGCAAAAUUUCAAACAUCUAUAACAAUUAUUUCUUUGAGAAGACUGUAGAGCAUUGUUUCAAAGAGGGUUUUCUUAAGCCUGUAGGCAAACCUAAAAAGGUAAAUGACUCAAUCAAGCUGGCACUUCAACAGUGUCUACCACUGCUUCAAGGCCAGCCUGUUCAAAUACUUCCCUGAAAUCACAUGCUAAAGUCAUUGUAUUUAAACUUUUUUUCUAUAAACUCAUAUGAAACAAUUACUCCUAUUGUAUUAGGCUCUACAGUCAGUGCGGAGGUAAAAUUAAAAGCUCCUCUAAUACUUCUAAAGUAGUAGAGUGUCUUUUAGUUUAAAUGACUGAUAUAUGCUGAUAUGCCAAGACUAGAGUAAUUUUGUUCAGAUUUGUUUAAUUUUUAAUAGAAGCAUUAAGUUAAUUAUUUAACUUCUUAAGGGCUUGUUAUAUAAAAAUAUGCCUUAUUUAAAUAUUCUCUUUAACAAGAAGGCUUAUUUCAUAAUAAUUUUAAAUAAAUCAGCAAUGGACUCAAAUUUCAGGGCUAUGUGAUAUAUCUCUGAAGAAGAAAUUCAAAUAAAAUAUAGAGGUGGUGACAACUGCUGCAAGGGGAAGUGCAGUAAGCCAAAUGAUCCAUUUGAAGGAGAGCUAUUUUAGGUGGAGGUGGUGGUCAGGUGGGGUCUCCAGUGCACUAUAUUUUCCCUUAUUUGUACCUAUGUUUGAACUUGUAACGCUAGAAAAAAAAUCAUGCCACCAAGUGGAUGCGUGCCACCCCAAAUUUGUGGCCUUUAAUCUCAGUUGGCCUUCAGUGAAGCACAGAGUCUCUUCCACAGCCGACGUGUUUUUGUUUUUGCUAAAUGCUUGCAGCAGCCUUUCCAAACCUCCACCUCAUCCUUAUUUUCAUCCCCUUCAGGUGUGACCUACUUUACUUCCUACUUCAUGAAGUACAUUCUGUCCUCUACAUUACUGCUUCCCAGAUGAAAUCUAUUCUAACAUUCACCCAUCCUUUCUUCUUCACAGGAAAGACACCUCUUCUUCUGUUCUAGGCUAAUUCCUUGGUCUUCACAGCUGUUGAGACUGUGGUCUUUCUCCCUUCACAUUUCCAGCCUCAUUUUCCUCUUCCUCCUCCUCUGCAGGCUCCUUUGAGCCACCCUCCUUGAUGCCUCUUUGCAGCAUCUUCCUCUGCCCACCUUUAGAUGUCCUAUUCCCCCAUAGUCACAGAUUCUUUCCAUGGUUGUCUUCUCACACUGACUUGGGCAGCAUAUUCCACUAGCUCUUCCUGAGGGCUCCACUCUCCACACUUCCAUCCUCUGCACAAGCUCUUUAGCUUUCUGGGUUGUCUGCUCCAUUGAUACAUUUGCCCAGGAUCUGCUGUGUUUCAGUAUGUUCAAAUUUUUCUUUUUGAACUGAUUUUCACACUAAGCUCAAAAGACCUUCUCCGUCCACCCCUUCUAAAACUCUCAACAGCACCUCUACUACAGGUUCUCUCAUGCAAUCACUGUCUCCAUUUUUAUCUUCUUGUAACUUAUCAACUCCUUGAAAUAAGAGACUGCAUUGUUAUUUGCCAUAUAUUUAUGUGGGUAAGGGCUCAAAAAAUAUCAAGUGAAUGGAUGAAUUUUAUAUACGUAAAAUAUGAUGUCAGUAAUGAUAUGACUCAGAAAAUAUCCAAACAUCUUCUGCAUGACCAAUUGGUGGGGCUACUGUUUGAUAAGGAUGUGGACCAAGUAACUUAAUGCUCCUACCAAGAGAAAGAAUUUAUGAUGUUAUGAUGAUCCUAUACCAAGUAAAUCUCCUUAAAGUUACUGUUUUAAAGACUAGAAAUUAAUAAAGUCUAAAUAAAGUAUAUAAUAAAAGUA
This 2419-nucleotide long non-coding RNA is filed under the name Homo sapiens (human). Its description in RNAcentral is "HSALNT0108281". Lineage: Eukaryota; Metazoa; Chordata; Mammalia; Primates; Hominidae. The record is from RNAcentral.